UGCCACAGUCAUUUCACCCUGCAGCCCAAGACUGGUUGCCCACUGAAGCUAAGCAGGGCUGAGUCUGAUCAGUACCUGGAUGGGAGACCUCCUGCGAAAGCUAGGUUGCUGUUGGAA
Ribosomal RNA from Sinocyclocheilus anshuiensis, 117 nucleotides. Lineage: Eukaryota; Metazoa; Chordata; Actinopteri; Cypriniformes; Cyprinidae. The record is from Ensembl.